This 445-nucleotide ribosomal RNA is filed under the name uncultured bacterium. RNAcentral's name for it is "partial 16S ribosomal RNA". It matches the Rfam family "Bacterial small subunit ribosomal RNA", at positions 354 to 796 of the family's 1533-position model. The record is from RNAcentral.
GUGAGGAAUAUUGGUCAAUGGACGAAAGUCUGAACCAGCCAUGCCGCGUGGAGGAUGAAGGUCCUCUGGAUUGUAAACUUCUUUUAUAUGGGACGAAAAUGGGGCUUUCUAGCUCAACUGACGGUACCAUAUGAAUAAGCACCGGCUAACUCCGUGCCAGCAGCCGCGGUAAUACGGAGGGUGCAAGCGUUAUCCGGAUUCACUGGGUUUAAAGGGUGCGUAGGUGGAUUGGUAAGUCAGAGGUGAAAUCUCCGGGCUCAACUCGGAAACUGCCUUUGAUACUAUCAAUCUUGAAUAUUGUGGAGGUUAGCGGAAUAUGUCAUGUAGCGGUGAAAUGCUUAGAUAUGACAUAGAACACCAAUUGCGAAGGCAGCUGGCUACACAUAUAUUGACACUGAGGCACGAAAGCGUGGGGAUCAAACAGGAUUAGAUACCCGGGUAGUCC